GUGCUUGCUUUGGCAGCACAUAUACUAAAAAUUGGAAUGACACAGAGAAGAUUAGUGCGGUCCGUGCACAAGGAUGACACUCAAAUUUGUGAAGCAUUCCAUAUAUUU
Molecule: small nuclear RNA, 108 nt
Filed under: Dasypus novemcinctus (nine-banded armadillo)
Lineage: Eukaryota; Metazoa; Chordata; Mammalia; Cingulata; Dasypodidae
Source: RNAcentral